This 1089-nucleotide ribosomal RNA is filed under the name Enterococcus faecium. Its description in RNAcentral is "bacterial SSU rRNA". It matches the Rfam family "Bacterial small subunit ribosomal RNA", at positions 150 to 1226 of the family's 1533-position model. Lineage: Bacteria; Bacillati; Bacillota; Bacilli; Lactobacillales; Enterococcaceae. The record is from RNAcentral.
UUGGAAACAGGUGCUAAUACCGUAUAACAAUCAAAACCGCAUGGUUUUGAUUUGAAAGGCGCUUUCGGGUGUCGCUGAUGGAUGGACCCGCGGUGCAUUAGCUAGUUGGUGAGGUAACGGCUCACCAAGGCCACGAUGCAUAGCCGACCUGAGAGGGUGAUCGGCCACAUUGGGACUGAGACACGGCCCAAACUCCUACGGGAGGCAGCAGUAGGGAAUCUUCGGCAAUGGACGAAAGUCUGACCGAGCAACGCCGCGUGAGUGAAGAAGGUUUUCGGAUCGUAAAACUCUGUUGUUAGAGAAGAACAAGGAUGAGAGUAACUGUUCAUCCCUUGACGGUAUCUAACCAGAAAGCCACGGCUAACUACGUGCCAGCAGCCGCGGUAAUACGUAGGUGGCAAGCGUUGUCCGGAUUUAUUGGGCGUAAAGCGAGCGCAGGCGGUUUCUUAAGUCUGAUGUGAAAGCCCCCGGCUCAACCGGGGAGGGUCAUUGGAAACUGGGAGACUUGAGUGCAGAAGAGGAGAGUGGAAUUCCAUGUGUAGCGGUGAAAUGCGUAGAUAUAUGGAGGAACACCAGUGGCGAAGGCGGCUCUCUGGUCUGUAACUGACGCUGAGGCUCGAAAGCGUGGGGAGCAAACAGGAUUAGAUACCCUGGUAGUCCACGCCGUAAACGAUGAGUGCUAAGUGUUGGAGGGUUUCCGCCCUUCAGUGCUGCAGCUAACGCAUUAAGCACUCCGCCUGGGGAGUACGACCGCAAGGUUGAAACUCAAAGGAAUUGACGGGGGCCCGCACAAGCGGUGGAGCAUGUGGUUUAAUUCGAAGCAACGCGAAGAACCUUACCAGGUCUUGACAUCCUUUGACCACUCUAGAGAUAGAGCUUCCCCUUCGGGGGCAAAGUGACAGGUGGUGCAUGGUUGUCGUCAGCUCGUGUCGUGAGAUGUUGGGUUAAGUCCCGCAACGAGCGCAACCCUUAUUGUUAGUUGCCAUCAUUCAGUUGGGCACUCUAGCAAGACUGCCGGUGACAAACCGGAGGAAGGUGGGGAUGACGUCAAAUCAUCAUGCCCCUUAUGACCUGGGCUACACACGUGCU